CCGGCCCAUGGUUUGCUGUUGGCCAAACCUGGUUCUUUUCCUUUGCUAGACAUCCAUAUGUGGGCAGAUAGACAUCAGGUCUCCUGGUAGAAGACUGUGGACCACUCCUCUGGGAACGGAUGAGGGCUCAUCAUUUGGGAGUAGUCCUUUCCUGAGAGAUUCUCAAGGCAGAAGCACCUCCCCAUGAUUUCUCCCAAAACAGUUCCAGCUGGAAAAAUUUGCACUGAUUUCUAACCCGUCCUUUGAACUAGCAACAGCCCCCCAGGGACUUUCUUUACAAUCACAGAGCCUUGUGUCUUUACCUGUAAUUACAGAAUUCUCCAUUUCUGUUCACUGUAUCAUGGAAGAUAAGAACAAGACCACUCUCUGGCAGUCACUCCAGAUCUCAGAAAGGGACUCCAAGCACUGACAGAAAGCACACAGGACUAAGGGAAGCAGAAAGGAUGAAAGCCAGACUUCAUGCAGAACUGCUUGUCUCAGUAGCAGACGUUGAAUGUCUUUGGGAAGCUCAGGUGUCUGCUGGACAAGGACACAGCCCUCAAGAGGUGAUCUCAGGGGAUGGAACUGGCAGAACUGUGAACAUGUCUCUUGCCUUCUAGGCAGUUCUUCCAGGACAUCUCUCCCACAGAAGAGAAAGAUGAGGUCGAGGUGGGGGAAUGCAGGCAGCUCUGCUCUCUUCCAUGUGCAUCCUACUGGCUGCCUCCCAGCCUCCUAGUCCCUGGGGAUUUUCCGGUCUCUUUGGAUGAGAACAAUCAAUCUCCUGCUUCCAUCCAUCCCCCAUUUCUUCCCAUGUAGGCUGAGGUCCAGACCCAGCUGAUGCUUCCUCCCAGUCCUGCCUCCUCAUCCUGCCUCCACGAUAGACACAGGCAGUCCUCACGGACUCCCAUCCACAACAGUCAGGGCAAGCCUGUGCUUUUUGACUCCUAGACAUGCUCGUAGGUGGGUGUAACAUGUCUCACAGUCACAUGGGUCCUACACCAUAGGGAUACGGGACCUGUACUGAAGAGGAGGGUACACUGCUGGCACUGGCACAGUCAUGUCCAGAGAGGGAGCUUUGACAGCUUGUGAAUGGGCCAGGAAGCACAGGACCUCACCCCAGUCUUUGGGGAAUGACAAAAAUGUCUCUGACAGUGGCUGGGGUUGGGAAAAUAGAGAGACAGGAAAAUGGGGACAGACCUGCAGGCUGCAUGACAUUGUGAAAGAGCCUACUACAUGAGCAGGAUCUGUUGUCUCUCUGAGUCAGUCAGACCCUUGCAAAGGGAAGCAAGCCCACGUGUUCAGGGAAUCCCAGUCUGCUCCACAAAACAUAGGUGAAGGAACUGGAGGACUGGGCCCCAAACACGUGCAUGCUACUUCUGAAGAAGAAUCUGUCCCAGGAAAGAUCCCUGCAGCCCUCUCCUUGCUUCUGUGGGGAAGGAGCACACAUUUGCUCCUCAGCCGUACCAGGGAUCUAUGUCCAGGCUGUCCUUGAACGUGCAAUCUUUCUGCCUCAGCCUUUUGAGUGAGGAGCUGAGAUUACAGGUAUGUACCACUGUGCUUGGUUGAUUUAUUUUUAUAAGUCUUAAUGUUGGCAUUAAUAUCUUGAGUAUUAUUAUAGAGUUCUAUUAAUCAAUAUCUAAUAAGGUAAAUAAGUAAUUACAGUAAUGGUGUUAGAAUCAAGAUUGUUAGUGUAAGAGAAGAAAAGUUAAGUAAAAAUUGCUAAUCUUUAGCCUGAAUUGGAAAUAAUAGCAUGCAUUCAUAUAUAUAAUAUACACAAGUAUAUAUAUAUAAAAAUAUACACAAGUGUAUGUAUAUAUAAUAUACACAAAGUGUAUGUACUAUAAUAUAGAUGUUAGAUGAUUGAUGAUCUGCUACUAACAAUGUUCAGAAACAGUGACUAGUCAACAACGUUAAAUACCCUUUCUAUCUAAAUUGUGGUCCCAACUAGUAUUUCUUACUAAAAGGGACAAAGACUCUUCAGAGAAAUUCUAGGUCUGGGACAGGGUAGCUUGUCAUGCGUGAGAACAAGGAAGUUGGGAAACUCAGAGUCAUGUCAACUUGAGUAGUUGACAACUCAGUAGUCAACUUGAGAAAACUUUCAUUGACUAAAUGAAAUAAUUACAGAAUAAACACGAAUAAUGAUGUAAGAUAUGGAGACAUUAAACAUAUUAAAAAGCCCACAAUUUCAUAAUGAUAAUUUUAAAAAUCACAGGUCACCUUUAGACAUUGAUAGGGCCCAGUAGCUGAUUCUGCAAAUCAGUAGGGUCCAGCAGAUUCUACUGAUGCUCCACAUAUUCCCUUCACACUCAUCUCAACAAGCUAGAGACUGAGAGUGUCUUUCUGCUGGCAGAGGAGUGCCUGGUGUUACGGAUCAAAAACUGGCAGUCAAUUUAAAGCCAGCUGAAUUAAAUCAUCAUGGUGCUGAGCAUAGAUGGUCCACCUGAGGUAAGUUGCCAGCAUAAAUAGAGAUGCGGAGUGACCAGUGAGGCGUUGUGGGUUCUCCUAUGUGCUGCUGUUUGAGCUGUUGGUUUUCCUGGAGGAGCUUGUCAUGACUAGCUUCCCCAGUGUGAGUUUGACCAUUGGCAUCAGAGGAGCUCAGGACCUUGUUGGUGAGAGUGGCUGUGGUUUACUUUGGGGAAACUCUGGUCCUUACAUCAAGCAUCGCUUCCUUGCUCUGGAGGGGAAGAUGUUUGCUGCUUAAUCUCUAGGAGAAACUUGUCACGCUCACUUUCUGGCAGAACUCUUCUGUUCUUAUCAUCAGAGGAGCUUGGGACCUCCGGGUUAUUGAGGAUGGCUGUGGUACUUUUCAGGACAGUCUUGGUCUUUAUUAUGAGUGUGACUUCUUGGCUCCAGUGUAGAACCCUCAAUCUACCAGCAUAGCUCCUUCAUCCUGCUGGCAUAAACUUGCUAGCUUCCACUGCUGACCUUUGGACCUUCCUAGCACACAUCCAUAAAACAGACUGGCAGAGUCCUUCUUGUGGGCUCUAGACCUCUAGUUGGACUUGUAGUAGGCAUUGUCAUGGGCUCUAGGUCUUCAUCUGGACUCAUGCAGGACAUUGCUGUGGGACCCAGGCCCUAUUUAUAUUCUGCGUCUCUAGUGUUCUGGACAAAUUUCCUGCACUUUCUUUUGUUUAAUUCUGGGUGACCACCAUAAAAUAAUACUAUAAAUUCUGUGUCUUGAUUCUAAUUUUUCUGCUCACAAGCCCUCACUACAAUACCUGGCCUCAGUGCACACAAGUGAGAGCACCCAACAGUCAGCUCCCCUUGCUGAAACUCACCCAUGAUAGAGGGCACCAGUCAGUUAAUACCUCAGCCCAGUUACUUUCUGCAGGUUCUCUGCUGUCCCCCCCUUUCCUGCCAGUUUUGGGCCCCACUUGCCCACAGCCACAGCCUAUUCAAUUAUGUGCCUUUUACUGACUUCCUUUCACUCUUUCACUGGCCAUCAAGAUCUGGAAAUUUUCCAAGCCACCAUGUCCUGAGGAUACCCAGGCACAGAGCAAAACAAAGUGAUGUGUUUGUGAUGGGGCAUGAGUGCAUUCAGAGGACAUGAACAAGCCAUAUUCACAAGUAGCCCAGAUCCUAUGUUAUCUGGCUCCAGGGAACUGUAUUAGCUACUUUUCUCUCCUUGAUGAGACAAAAAUACCCACGCCCAGAUUUAAAGGAGAAAAGGUUUAUUUUGCUCACAGUCCAUAUUUGGCUGGCUCCAAGGCAGACUGGCACAUGGCAGAGGAGCAUCACAGAGGAGAAACAGUUCAUGAUACCCACAAGGUAGCAAAAGCAACAAGGGAGAGAUCUUGAUAGCAACUUUCUGUCCCUUUUUCUGUAGCUAGUUACUGGGAUUGGAGCAGUGCCAAACCAAUCAGUGGAGUAAUUUAGUAAUCACAUAGCCUUAAUCCCAGCAUUAUACUAUGAAUCAGUCACACACUAUAGAUCCAGUCACCUCUGCAAAACCAUACCUAUGACCACAUGAGGCUUUGGGGGACAUCUAAACACAAGCGAUAACAGAUACCCAUAGUUCUCUCUCAGAUCACCCAGAAUUCUUGGGGAGUUUCUAUAUGAGCAGAGAGGAAGUAGCCUAGGCCAGGUUAUGGAUGAGUCUGGUACCUGGAUAUGACUACAUGUGGACUGUUGCUGUACCAUAAUCCCACCCAUGGGGGCCUGGGAAGAUAGGAUGAGGGAAAAUCCUUCUGGGGAGAUCUUCUCUCUGUGACAGAGGUGAUUUGGAAGUAAGGGGACUCUGGGGCAGUGCAGUGGCUUGGUGGCCUGUUAGAGGCCAGGAAAGCAUAAGACAGAAAUUUGAAAACAAAGGAGCCUGGGGCAAGGUCUAUGGAUGGAUUUAUAGGAAAAAGCACAUGUAUCUCAUGUCUAUUAUGGAACCCUCGCUGCAGAAGAGGCAUUGAACAGAGUGGGACAGAAGAACUCCAGCAGACAACAGCCAUCCUUUGUCUUGCUCCGAGCCUGGGCUUGCAUGAUAGCCAUGAGUAGAGUGAUUGUGGCAGUUGAUACGGGGACUCUGCAGACUCACCAGCAUGGGCUUUCUCUUAUCUGGCUCACCAAGCUACUACAUGCUGGGCAUGUGGUCUGUCAGCAGCAGAGACAUGCUGGCUCCUCAACAAAGGAGACAAGCCACUUGGUCAUCUGUUGGUUAUAAUGCACCUCUUUCAGUCUGGGGGGAAGUGCAACAGGUCCUCUCUGGGAUUAGUGCAUAUUCUGAUAUGGAUCUGCUGUCUCCGACCUAGUACUUUGGCCAGAAUCUAGGGCACAAGGUAAUGGCUUACUCUCAUGAGAUUUCUUAUAGUUUAUCACCUCCAAGCAAAAUGAUUCACUGCCCAAUGAAAGAAAAGUGACUAUGGGGAUGUGAGACUGUGCUACAUCACUGUGGAUCUGACAGCUUGGUGGUACAUUACAAGGGCUUCUUCACAGCACAUUCAAAACCAGCUUGGGAGCAAGGUCCUCUGGGAUUUUCUUGUCCUCCUUCAAUGAUCCGGCCCGCAGAUCAAUCCAUGGGGUAUACCUGGAGGGGGGACGGGGAUGAAUAAAACAGGGUGGGAGACAAAGAGAGAUGGAGACAAGUUGAGGAGUCCAAUCAAGUCUCGCUUAUUCAGAAAAUGGUUGCAGCUUUUAUGGGCCAAGGGCAGGCUGGUGGGACAGGAAGAGGCUAUGGGGUGGUUUCUGAUAGGUCAUCGUCACAUCUGGAUAUGUGACGUAAGCAGGAGAAGAUUAUGGGUAAUAUAGGCAGGCGCAUUAUGUGCCCAUAGGAGAGAGAGGUGGAGAGGCAGCAAUGGGGCUGUCACGCCGCUCCCUACACUUCAAAACACAGAAUAUAUUUUGAGUCAGUUAGCUCUUACACUGUGCUGUGUCCAAGAUGGCUAGAAAUCAAGGGUGCAGGAAUAGAGGCAUCACCAUCUUGGUAUCCCACUGGGAAUUUGUGCUUCUAGUUCCUAUUCACUUGGGCUCUGCAGAGCCCUGGUCCCUGGAGUGGUAGAUGCAACAGCCAGAGAUCAUGGAGCCAUUUUGUGCACUUCAUGCCAACUGGCUGGUAGGCAAAGAAAAGAAUUCUGUGACAGGGACACCCCAUGUGCCUGCCCAUGAUAGCAAUCAUGGCCUGUCAGGAGCUUGGUAAUGAAAGGAGUGAAAUUGUCUAUUAGGAAAGCUCCAUAGAGCAACAGAAGGAGCCGAGGGGAGGGAAACGGUUACAGCCUAUGAAACAAUCACAGAAUAUUUACUGUGGUUUGAUCCCGUUAUAAAAACUUCUUUUAAGGAAUUAGAACUUGCAGUCUGCUGCUACUUGGCUGCAUCAGUGAUACGAUAAAUUGAACUAACCUAAAGCACACAGGAUUCAGGAAGUCCAAAGCGCUGUGACCCACACUCUUCAGCACUCACCCCUGCAGGGAGCAGGUGCAUUGUGUCAUCUGUGACUCUUACUGAGGGCUUUUUUUCUGGGUGUAGGGUGGCAUGUUUGGGCUCAGAACAAGCCAGGAAGGCCUCAUGGCACAACAGUAAUGUGUCUGACUCCAGAACAAGCCAGGAAUGCUGAAGAGUUAAUGUCCUAGAGGAUUCCUCCAGUAAGGGGAGUCGACAGAUCAUGCCCUGGUUUCUUUGCAGUCAGGUGGGUUUCUCUGGGUGGCUUCUACAGAGAGCAGAGAUUCCCAGCAGGAUUAGGCCGCCACUGUCCACCUGCUUUUUUCCCAUACUCUCAAUUGGCUUCCUUUAUUUUCUGUUCUUUCCAGUCCUCUUCCAAUGACUCUGAACAUCACCUCCCAAAUAAAUCAAGCAUCUUCAGAUUCCUAAGAAGAUCUACUUUUAGGGAGCCCUAAAACAAGUAGAAGCAUUAAUCCUACCAUCUCUAAAUGGGUUAAAUGUCAGGGUAACAUAAGAGUUGUUGAGGGCAUUUUUUCUUUUGAGAAGGCUACUUGGACUUAAACCCAGGAAAUCUCUACAACUGAGCUAUGUUCCUAGCCCUUUAUUUAUUUAUUUUUUUGACACAGUAGCUCAUUAAAUUGUCUAAGCUGGUCUCAAAUUUGUGAUCCUCCUGCCUCAGCCUCCCAUGUAGCUGGGAUUAUAGGUGUGUGCCAUUAUACUCAGCUGGGAAAUGUGUCUUUAUAAAUGAUUAUCGACCAAUAAACAAAGCAGAAAUGACAAUGUUAAAAAAAUCUCCAUUUUUUUACUGAAAUAAUGGAUCUAGACAAUGACCAUCAGUAGCCUUCAGAUAAGGUGUUGAUGGAUAUGGGGUCCAAUGGUGGCCAUGUUCUGCUCAAUGAAACCCAUGAAUAUUGCUGUAUUUGGAAAAAGACAUCUUCAUACAUAUGUUUCAUUAACAUGUCCCUUAACUCCCACCAUCCUGGGUUAACCAAGUGGGAAAAGUCCAAGGCAAGGUGUCCUCUUGAGAGAUGAAGGGGGACACAGACACAUGCAGAAGAGGAGGCAGAGUGGCCACAGAGGCAGAGAUGGGACUGACACAGCAAGACAGCUAAGGUAGCCGAGGGUCCCGUAGUCACUGAGAGCUGGAAGGUGCAAGGGAGUGCUCUGUCUUGAAGCGCCUGAGCCUACUGACACCACAGUAUUAGCCUUCUGCACUCCAGAACCAGAACCAGCCUUUUUAUUUAUUGUCUAUAUUUUUGAGACAAGCUCUCCUUAUGUAGCAGAAGAUGCCCCUCCCCCAGCCAGUAUACUUCAGUUUGUUAGCUGCCCAGGUGAUACUUCUGGUUAUAGUUCUGUUACUUUUGUUUCUUACAAUUCUUCUCCUAGAGGUAUGAGCCAGGACUCACCUCUGGGUCUAACCACCAAGCAUGCUCCUGCCACUCCUCGGCCACAUAAAGCAGUUCAGGAGCCUGAUAGAGUCACCCUGGCAAGAUGCCUUCAACAAUGUAGCCAUCAUCUUGUGGCUGUGGUUCCUGACCCUACACCCUUUGUGGACGGUUACCUCCAGAUCCCACCUGGUUUACAUGUCUAGUUUUAAGUAACAUUUUAAUACAUUAGACUUUUUUUUUUUGGUACCUGGGAUUGAACUCACAACCCCGUACUUGCCACACAGGCACUGUGCCACUGAGCUAUAUCCCCAGCUGCAUGUCUAGUUUUAAAAGAUGCUUUCCUCUGCUUGUGAGUUGCUCCCUUCAACUGGAAAAUUCUGAGACAAGAUGCAACUCAUUUGGACUCGGUUGCCACAAAGGGUUAAAAGCUCUCCCACUAUUUUCAUGGAGGCUCUAAACACAGAUUCAGCCAAGCCAUCAGCACCUUUUCUCCAAGAUGACCUGUUUCUCCGUCCCUCCUGCUUGCUGUCAUGGUACCCUGACAAAAAAUAAUAGACUUUCGAAUUGCUAAAAUACACCUCUCCUGCCUGUAAAGCCAGCUCAAGGUCUCCAACCGCCAAUGCCAUCGUGAUUGCCCUCCAUAUAGGUUUCCUCACUCUCCUGCCGCCCACAGCCUACUGAUGCACCUGCCUGGGCCUAAAGAAUGCCUUUUCUGCCUUCAGUUGGAUCCUGUCAGCCAGUCCCUGUCUGCAACUGACCCGGAAUCAAUCUCCCAAUGGUUCAAAAACUUGUCUCCUCCUUGAAAAAAUACUUCUCAUUAAUGAUACUCAAGCUGCCUGUUGAAAGACAGCUCUGCUAUAAUAUCUGGUAGAAACUGGUUAUAAAGAAAAAAACUGCAAGUUUCUUGAAGCUGCUGGCCUCUGUAGAAUCUAGAUCCUUGAGUUCACAAAAACAAUGAUGCUUACUCAGAAUGUCAGCUCCUGGGAGCACCCAGUGGCCUACCUGUACAAAUACUUAGAUCUGAUCACUUAGGGCUUCCACGCGUCCUUGCCACCAUGCUCGUUAGCCACUGUCCUUCUCAUCAAGAAAACUGACAAUCUCACCUUAGGUUGAGAACUAACUGUCCAGGUGCCAUAUGCAUCGGACCUCCUGAGCAAUUGUAGACUACUACAGAUGCUGAGUACACCCUGUUUACAGAUGGAAGUAGCUCUGUUAGGAAUAAAGUCCAGCAGGCUAGAUAUUUACCUUGGACAAAGUUAUUUUGGCCAAAGCUCUCCUGCUACUGCUUCCUGCUGCUGUUCGGAAACCUGCCACCAACACCACCAAACCUGUACCUGUAAGCCCCCUCCAGAUGUCCAACUGACUGAAACAUCAACCCCAGGUGGAAAAACUUUAUUUACCCAGUUCUCCCAGGAGAUCAGAGCCAGACCUGCCCACACCAUUUUUGCAAGCUCAAGCUGCAGCGCUGACACCCGCACCCCUGCAGCCAGCUCAAGCUUCAGCAUCUGUGUCACUGGCCCUGAUCUCAUUCAAUAUAGUGGACUUUCCCCAUUUGAAGAUAUAUAGACAGAUUACACAAAAGUAAAACCUUACAGGGGUUAAAAGUAUCUGUUAAUGCUCAUUUGUAGUUACUUAGGUUGGCCUAAGACAUUCUCUAUCUGCACUGAAAAGGUAACAGUUUAUAGGGUCCUGCCACUAGCUAUACCUAACACUCCUACACACACAUAUAACCCAGGUUUAUAUUAAUUACCUCUACAAGUUUCAGAAAUCCAGCCUUAAAUUCACUGGAGAAUUUAUCUGGACCAGACAACUGACUCUAAAGAGAUGGUGCACUCAAAGGUCUGCUCUGGCCAUUCUGGACACUGACCAGUCCAUGCAGGGCUGAAGCCUGAGGAUACCAUUUAUAGGAUUGCUCCAUAUCUAUUAUCCUUAAUUUUUGUGUCUUUUCAGGCUGCUUACACCAGUCCUUGCUUCCCUGCCCCCCACUAGCUGUGGUUUUUUGCCUUAGUUCUAUGGAUGAUUGACCUUAGUUCUAUGGAUGAAGCCCUAUGGAUGAUUGAUCCAUAGUUCUAUGGAUGAGAGAAUAAAAAAUAACCAGUAAGGCCCUCACAAUUGAUAAAGAUUGGAUGAGCAUCCAAGGCGUGUUGGAUACUCUCUUAGAUCAGAUUAACUCCUUCAAUCCCUUGUCAGAGUCAACUUAGGGAGAAACCCUAUAAGCGAAACAAACCACAAAGUUCUGGUGGGAAACUUUCAGUCUUGAGGGCCUUGGCUAGGGCCCAUCCCAGGAUCACUGAAAAUCCUAAUGUUACUGCUACUAGUUGGGCCCUGUCUCAGAUGAUCACAUAUAAUUUGCCCGGCAAAGAUUUGCUGUUGAAACUAAAAGAGGAAGAAAACAUAGCAGAAGAUGCCCUCACCCCAGCCAGUAUACUUCAGUUCAUUCGUUCCCCAGGUAAUAGUUCUGGUUAAAGUUCUUGUUACUUUUGUAGUUACUGCAAUGCAUAGGUGGUCUUUAUGAUAUAUGUUGUAAGAGCCAGUCCCCAGUUGACAAGCCAUCCUGCCUCUGUAGUUCCUGCUUGCUUAUCCCAUAUAAGCCCUAGGCAUCAGCGAUCAGGGCCUGAUAUUUUGGGAAUAAUUCCAUUCAGUGCCUGUCAACAUAAAAUAAAUCUGCCUCCAAAUCCUA
Molecule: long non-coding RNA, 9909 nt
Organism: Cavia porcellus (domestic guinea pig)
Lineage: Eukaryota; Metazoa; Chordata; Mammalia; Rodentia; Caviidae
Exons: 2
Source: RefSeq, a predicted model, not a curated record